Drosophila suzukii is the source of this 634-nucleotide non-coding RNA. Lineage: Eukaryota; Metazoa; Arthropoda; Insecta; Diptera; Drosophilidae. The record is from RefSeq and is a predicted model, not a curated record.
UAAAAACUUCUGCCAAGAUUGCUCCCAGUGCAGUAUACCUGUGUCUCGCGAGUGCUUAAAAUAUAAAAUAAAUGAUACUAAUUAUAAAGUUGCUUCUCUUGAGCUUUAUGGGAAUUGGAGAUGGAGCCCGCAUUCUGGCACCUUUCUUCUCACCUACACCAAGCCAUUAUAUGAUGACAAAUGCGAUUAUAAGAGAACUGGUAAAACGUGGACAUGAGGUCACAUUCAUAACUCCGUUUUCGUUGGCCAAGGAAAACUUGGGGCCAAACUAGAGAGAAAUUCUUUUGCGCCAUUAUGACUCAUGGGAAGAUGUUUCUGCAAAGAUGAAUACAAAAUCGGCGCUGGAUAUGAUUGACUUGUCAGGGAUGACGCACAUGCGUCUGGCCCAACACAUUGGUAUCCAAUCAACGGAUUUUGCACUGGCCCAUCCGGGAGUUCAGGAUCUAAUUCACGCCAAAGAUAAGAUCGGUAAAUUCGAUCUUAAUUAAUCUAAUACCCUCUACACACUGCCGCCUUAAAAUACUCUUAUACCUUUUUUAUAAUCGCCUUUUUUAACAAUUAGAACAUUUGUUAAGAUUUAAUUUGGUGUAUCUCAUUAAAUUCUAGCAAUUAAUCUUAUCAUAAACCAACAAAA